ACCAUGACCACUUUGCAUCUCUUCUUUGGGGGGGCUGGCUGCCUGCCUUCUUCCAGAUUUGGUGCUUCCACUGAUGAUUCUGCUAGUGCUAUGAGAAGCUCAUUCCUGUUUUCCAGUUCCAGGGGAGGAGUAACGCUGGCUCAUGCCUUGGGGCCAGAGAUAACCAUCUCCUAGGCAACUCCAAGAUGGGACUCCAGGCUGCUGUGAAGUGUUGCUAGGCACAGUGAAACAGCUGCUAUGUUGUACUUCACAGAUGGCUGAACUGAUUCUGGCCUGGCAGUGAAAAAUCAGUUGGGAUACUUUUCCUGAUUCACCUGAACAGAAAGUUCUGUUGAAGAAAGAGGAAAAUAAGUUGACCUGAAAAGCGAAGUGGACCUGCCAGUUCUCUCAGCAUCUGUAGGAGCUGCUGCCUGGACGAAUACUCAGAAAAAGAAGGCAAAUACCAUGUGACUAGGAGUGACCAGUCAGACAGCUUGAAUAUUAAAUACUGAAGACUUAUGGUAGCCUUUCAGCAGAAUAUGUGUCAAAAGCUUUUCAGACAAGAGUAAAGAAUACUAUUCAGAAGAUACCUUGUGAGGAAAGCAUGGCUUCUGGUCUUGCUACUCUCAGGCUAGGACUGAAGGAAAUCUGGGGAUAUGAAAAUGGACUACAACUACAGGAAAGUAAUCCAUAGUAUGGCAGCAAUAAGAAUAGCCAGUUUGUCUCACAGCUAGUGUAGGGAUUAUUCAUAAAAAAAUCUAAAUUAUGAAGGUCAAAUGUUCUUAAAGUGAAAAAUAAAAUAAAAUUGGACCUACAAGUCAAGGCCCUUUUAACUAAGACACUGGACUCUGUGAUGAUUCUUAAUUAUAGAUUUUGAUUUUAAAAAUUAGAAGUGCAUUACAACAAACUUUUCAAUUUUAGAGUAAUAUAGUUAAUAACUUUUACAGCUUCUUCACUUUGAAGCAGGCUGGUGAAGUGAAAGAUAACCUAAGGAGAGGGUUCUUUGAGUUACAGAAAGUGGUAGUCUGGAGUCUGAUUCUCCACUUGUGCAGACAUUCACACCUCUGCAAGUGGGUGUAAACAGUAGCAGAUCAGAAUGCCAUUCACGCCUACUUAGCACAGGUGUGAAUGACUCCACAUGAUGCAAGGGAGUUGAGUUUAUGAAUGCAAGGAGGCCUCAGGAGUUUGGGAGUUAAUUCAUCUUCCUGAAAACUUGGCUAUGCAUCAUUACUCAGCACUAUGUAGCACGAAGCAUUCUUUACUUUGUGCAUGAUUAGCCAGACAUCUUUUUCUUUCAGCUAACCCCUAUAUUUAAAUCAUUUUUAGCUUUCAUUGGGUAUGACAAUUGCAACUUGCAGACAAUAGGAAUACUGAAUCACAGAUACUAAAAAUGCUUAAUAUGUCGGAAAAAAUUAAAUUCUAGGAAUAAGAGACCAGGGGAAAGUGAAUUGCUUAGCAGGAGGGGCAUUUAAACUGUGUCCUGUGACUCAGUAGUGCCCAGUCCUCCAACUGAUAAUUGAGACUGCUUAUGGUGGGAGGCAGAGGCCACAGCAGGUAUUACAUUUGUACUGGGAGAGAAGCCUUUGUCCUGGAAUGAAAGGAGAAUGUACAGCCAUUCAAGGGAUUUCUUGUGGAAGAGUUGGCUCUUCUGUAAGAAAGUUAGAUCAAUAUGUACCAAAAAGAUUGACCUCCUCCAGACAUCUAAUUUGAAUGGCUGUACACUUCUCUUGGGUGUGGUGGACACCCAAUAUCCUGUAGUCCUCUGCUCUCCCUCCCUACCUCCCAUGAAGUGUGCAGGGGAGCACUGGCUCCCUGACAGCUUGCACAGGGAGCUGUGAGGAGCCUGCCUUUGAAAAUCCCACCCCCAUAGUUGACUGAUAAGGUGGGGAGGCAGUUUUCUCCUGCAGUAGGAACUCGGCUGAACCCUCAAGAUGGUUGGUGUCAGGGGAUAAUGGCUCUGGGCCACCCAAUCCCAAUAGAUCAGGCUGUUAAUUACUGGGCUCCCCAAAGGAUGGGGUGGCCCAGGGAGCACCCCUCUUGUGCCUCCUAGCUGGCGAGCUCUCCUGCAUAGCAAUCCAGGGAGGGAGCUGGAAUGCAUGCAUGCUCUAGCUCUUGGACUAUUUUUCUAGUGGUAAGAACUACAGAGAAAUUCUUAUCAAUAGAAAUGAAAACCUGUCUGUGACCACAGUACUGGUAGGAUCAACGCUAAGCUUACAAGAAGCAUGGAAAGAAUUACCAAUCCCUACUGCAGAAAGGGACUCUGGGAAGCUACCUAGUUUUUAAAGACCUCUGUAAACCUAAGGCAGCACGGUGUGAACUAGACUGUCAGGGAGAAAUUGCAGGCUAAUAAAGCAAGAUGGAAAAUUAUUUGAAGCAUGUAUUAGAGCCACUAAUAUUAUGAAGCAGCUCUCAUAUUUAAAAAAAGCUAGAGAUAGUUUGUUUUGUACUUAUUUUGUAAACUUUAUAGUGAUUUCACCAUAAAUUACUCAGAUUCAAGACUACUUUCUUACUGUAAAGUGAGUUAUUUCUAAAGAUGUCAUUCACUUUUGCAUCUCACAGAAUAACUAGGCAAAAACGCUGUGAAUAUACAACUGAAAUUCUGAUUUAUUCAGUCAUUAGCCAAAAAGAAGUGCCAUUUCAAUGGUAAUAGAAUGAAAAUCCAACUGGUGUUUUCUUUCUAAAAUGUGUUUUCCAUAGAGAUUGCUGUUCUCAGGCAAACACUUAUUUAAACCUUUGAAAUGUAUAAUCUUAACUUUAUACAGCUCUAGAAGUCUAAUGUUUCAUCCCUACUUGCAAAAGUAUUACAAUUUAAGUUUCAAUAAUGCAAGAAGCAUCUGUAGAGAAAAUACCAGGAAAACAGCUUUCCAGGAAAGAUGUUACAGGUUUGAAAUAGGUUUUUCUUAAAAUUUUUAUUAUAAAAGCUAUAGCUUUUUGAGCUUGCUAAUGCAAGUACAGGAUGUAAUCUUAGGAGGUCCAGCAGUAUGUGGUCGAAAUCCAGUCAUUAACACCACAAUUCCACUGUUGUUCUUCUAGCAUACAAUUAAGGAAAAGAAAAUCAAACAUUCAACAUACAGCUGUGCACUAGAUACCUUCACGGAAACGACUCAGCUUUUUACAAACAAAACAUUAGCACUUUAAGGUGAGGUAGAUUUCCCCUUCUGGGUUUAACGUGGUGCUCACAUUCACCUAGCAGACGGAGUGUGGAGAAUGGUACAUUUUGGUUGCAAAAUGAAUGUCAAGAGAUCUUUGCCUGAUCAGAACUCCACUAUGCUAAGAGCUCUACAGGUGAAGAGGCAAAGCCAGUCCAUGCCCCAAUCAGCUUACAACUUUGCGUAAGACCAGAGGCAACAAAAGGAAUGAAAUGAACUCAGAGAACAUGGAAAGAUGAUAAGAUACUGCUUGAAGGCCCAAGCCAUGUCAGAACUGAGAUGUCUACACUUGUGGAGAAAGUGGCAUGGAGGUCUUUAUUUAUUACAAAGAGACACUUCACUUUGCACGCAUAAACUUUUGCCUGUUCAAUGAAGAAAAAAGAACCACUCCCAUCAUACUGUGAAUACAUGAUUGCAGACUACUUAGAAAACAAUUGAAGCAUACAAGACAGGCAAGAAUGAAUGCACUGCAUCCCAUCUGUUUGUCCUUUUGGUACAUGUGGUAAUGGUCACUUAUCUGACUACCUGUGGAUAUGUAAAUGUAUUUGAAAUGAUGAAGAACUCUCCAUUCCAUGAUAAUGACAACAACCCGUGACAUCUCUAACCUUAGCAGCAGGUUAGAAACUAUUUGUGUUCUCUUCCAUUAAGAAUUUUACCCCUUCUGACACAUCUAUUUAGUUUUGUUUGAAAGAGAAAAUCACAUUAGUAUGACCUAAAACCACAAAUGAAUACUGUCUUCUCCCAACUAAUCUGCAUAUAUUUAAGUAUUUAUGAGCCACCUGCUGGGUAUCUGAGGUGGUUAUCAAUCUAAUAAAACCACAAUGUUAUUUGAAGCUCCCUUAUAAGCACCAAAGCAUAUAUGUAUUAAGACCAACCGCAACUAUGCUUAAAAAGAUAUUGCACAUCUCAUCUUUACUUGUUUCUCUAAUUUUUCCCCUCUAAUUUAUGAAUUUUCAAAAAUAUAUGAAAUAGGUAUAGUAUAAGCAGUAUUGAUAAGCACUAAGCCUGGGACUCAUGCCUAGUGGAUUUCACUCAGCAUGGGCUAGCAUUUUGCACUAGAAAUGUCAUUCUUUCCUUAUGAAUAGUGGUACAGCCUGUAUUUCUUAAAACUAAAGAUACUUUUUAUUUGAAGCAUUUUGAUAGACCCCAAAACACUUUUGCACUUUCCCUGGAAUCACAGAACUCAUUUUGCUCAUGUUGUUCCUUCUUUACUUUUAUUUUUGUACUGUUGUUUUCCAUUUCAAAGAGUGAGAGUUAUGGCUUGAUAACAAAGGUAGCAGUUAAUAUUGUAUUUAAUAUCCUUUCAGUGCCUAUGAUGUAAAGACUGCAAUCUAGAUGAAAUUAUUGUUGAUGCUAGUGAAUAAGUUAUUCAUCAUUUUGCAGAAGGAGCUGGACUUCCAACAUGAAUGCCUUAUGCUUUGUUUAUUUUACAUCUUUGGAUGUAAAUUACUAGCUAUUUUAAUCUAGGAAUAUAUCAGAAACAGAGCUUUAGAGAAGUCGGUUUUGCUGAAGCUUUAUCAAACUUAACAGUGUUCAGCAUACUUUCUAAAAUUACCCGGGUCAGAUAGCAAGAAGAUUGUUUAGAAAAUACACAGAAAAAUAUAUUGUGAGAUCUAAUUUUGUUUCUGACCACUAAUGACUAGUGAGGUUUGUAGGUCACUGAAAUACCGUUACAGUUGUCCUUAGCAAUCAGCCUUUACUUUUCAGGGGGAAGAAUAUAAUGGAGUUAGGACUUUAUUUCAGAAACCUAUACAAUCUCUUGUAUUCAAAAAGAUACUGAUAGUAGUAACCAUAAGACAUUCUUCAGGGUGCCAUAGAAGUUGUAUUUAUAUUAGUGUGUGUUAGAUUUCUUGCACUCUAUAAUUAGUAAUAAACAGUAACAACCUCAGAGUUAAAUAGGAUGAGAAAGGGAAAGUGAACCUUCAAGCCAGCUUCUUGAGGUCUUGGUUGUUUUUUCUUCUCUCCUGUUAUUCACUGCCACAAUCAUACUGGGGCAAUGCCUGAGGGAGUUAUCUAUUGUGCAGGCAGCGGGCUAAAUUCUGCUUUCAGUUGCAUCCCUGAUUUGCACAGGUGUAACCAAAGAUACCCAGUAAUUAUGAGAUGUUUGUAUUGGAACAGCCCCCUAGUUCUUUGCUGCUUAACCACACCUGUGUUUAUCAACAGAUAAACAUUUCAAGGACAAGGCAUUACUCCCCCGCUCCCCACUUUUUUUCCAGCUGAUUCUCUUUUUAUUAUUUAAUUUCAUCUUAAAUUAAAUGGAGACAACAAACGUGAGUACUGUCCAGGAUUCUAAAUCCUUGUAGGGUCUUCCCUCUGUACAGCUUUGUAGGUUUUGCUGGCAGAAUGAUUUGGCCAGAUUUCUGAGAGGAGCCUGAUUUAAAAGCUGCAGAAGACAUUUUUUUCAGAUACAUCCACUUCGUAUUGAUGGAGAAGGAAACAUUACUCAGGAAUUCUGGUUUCCCAGAAACGAGCAGUGUAUCUAGAGAAUGUAAACCAUGUAAUAAUCUGCCAACAGGUGGAGCUAGGUGAAAAUCCCUGGAUGCUGUGACAUCUGCUAUGUAGCUACACUGUAAAUCCUAUAAAUUUAAAUUAAAAAACCUUAAUGAAUAAAGCAUUCAUUUACAACUGUAUUUUGUUACUUAAUUGUCAAGGAUUUUUCUUUAUUCAUUAACAAAUCUGUUUUUUUUAAUAAGUGAAAUAAAC
This is a long non-coding RNA of Alligator mississippiensis (American alligator), 5831 nucleotides long. RefSeq lists it as uncharacterized. NCBI's taxonomy places the organism in Eukaryota, Metazoa, Chordata, Crocodylia, Alligatoridae. The record is from RefSeq and is a predicted model, not a curated record. The transcript has 9 exons.